RNAcentral lists this ribosomal RNA (425 nucleotides) under uncultured bacterium. Its description in RNAcentral is "partial 16S ribosomal RNA". It matches the Rfam family "Bacterial small subunit ribosomal RNA", at positions 354 to 796 of the family's 1533-position model. The record is from RNAcentral.
GUGGGGAAUCUUGCGCAAUGGGCGAAAGCCUGACGCAGCCAUGCCGCGUGAAUGAUGAAGGUCUUAGGAUUGUAAAAUUCUUUCACCGGGGACGAUAAUGACGGUACCCGGAGAAGAAGCUCCGGCUAACAUCGUGCCAGCAGCCGCGGUAAUACGAAGGGGGCUAGCGUUGCUCGGAAUUACUGGGCGUAAAGGGCGCGUAGGCGGACAGCUUAGUCAGAGGUGAAAGCCCAGGGCUCAACCUUGGAAUUGCCUUUGAUACUGGCUGUCUUGAGUUUGGGAGAGGUGAGUGGAACUCCGAGUGUAGAGGUGAAAUUCGUAGAUAUUCGGAAGAACACCAGUGGCGAAGGCGACUCACUGGCCCAAUACUGACGCUGAGGCGCGAAAGCGUGGGGAGCAAACAGGAUUAGAAACCCGAGUAGUCC